This 251-nucleotide ribosomal RNA is filed under the name uncultured bacterium. RNAcentral's name for it is "partial 16S ribosomal RNA". It matches the Rfam family "Bacterial small subunit ribosomal RNA", at positions 103 to 354 of the family's 1533-position model. The record is from RNAcentral.
CGGGUGAGUAACGCGUGGAGAACCUGCCGUAUACUGGGGGAUAACACUUAGAAAUAGGUGCUAAUACCGCAUAAGCGCACAGAGCCGCAUGGCUCAGUGUGAAAAACUCCGGUGGUGUAAGAUGGAUCCGCGUCUGAUUAGCUAGUUGGCGGGGUAGAAGCCCACCAAGGCGACGAUCAGUAGCCGGCCUGAGAGGGUGAACGGCCACAUUGGGACUGAGACACGGCCCAAACUCCUACGGAAGGCAGCAG